RNAcentral lists this transfer RNA (82 nucleotides) under Salmonella enterica subsp. enterica. RNAcentral's name for it is "tRNA-Ile". Lineage: Bacteria; Pseudomonadati; Pseudomonadota; Gammaproteobacteria; Enterobacterales; Enterobacteriaceae. The record is from RNAcentral.
GGCUACGUAGCUCCAGUUGGUUAGAGCACAUCACUCAUAAUAUUGAUGGGGUCUGAGUUCCGGAAUCCCGUCGUAGCCACCA